AGGACGAACGCUGGCGGCGUGCCUAAUACAUGCAAGUCGAACGCGCUCCAUUCGGUAGCAAUACUGAUGAAGAGCGAGUGGCGAACGGGUGAGUAGCACGUGAGCAACCUGCCCCGAAGACUGGGACAACACCGGGAAACCGGUGCUAAUACCGGAUAUCCCUAUCGGACCGCAUGAUCUGAUAAGGAAAUGGAUUCCGCUUCGGGAGGGGCUCGCGGCCUAUCAGCUAGUUGGUGAGGUAAUAGCUCACCAAGGCAUCGACGGGUAGCUGGUCUGAGAGGACGAUCAGCCACACUGGGACUGAGACACGGCCCAGACUCCUACGGGAGGCAGCAGUGGGGAAUCUUGCGCAAUGGGCGAAAGCCUGACGCAGCAACGCCGCGUGGAGGACGAAGGCUUUCUGAGUUGUAAACUCCUUUCAGCAGGGACGAUUGUGACGGUACCUGCAGAGAAGCACCGGCCAACUACGUGCCAGCA
RNAcentral lists this ribosomal RNA (477 nucleotides) under uncultured bacterium. RNAcentral describes it as "SSU rRNA". It matches the Rfam family "Bacterial small subunit ribosomal RNA", at positions 26 to 513 of the family's 1533-position model. The record is from RNAcentral.